GACGAACGCUGGCGGCGUGCUUAACACAUGCAAGUCGAACGGAAAGGCCCUGCUUUUGUGGGGUGCUCGAGUGGCGAACGGGUGAGUAACACGUGAGUAACCUGCCCUUGACUUUGGGAUAACUUCAGGAAACUGGGGCUAAUACCGGAUAGGAGCUCCUGCUGCAUGGUGGGGGUUGGAAAGUUUCGGCGGUUGGGGAUGGACUCGCGGCUUAUCAGCUUGUUGGUGGGGUAGUGGCUUACCAAGGCUUUGACGGGUAGCCGGCCUGAGAGGGUGAACGGCCACAAUGGGACUGAGAGACGGCCCAGACUCCUACGGGAGGCAGCAGUGGGGAAUAUUGCACAACGGGCGGAAGCCUGAUGCAGAAACGCCGCGUGCGGGAUGACGGCCUUCGGGUUGUAAACAGCUUUCGCCGGUGACGAAGAGUGAGUGACGGUAAUGGGUAAAGAAGCACCGGCUAACUACGUG
RNAcentral lists this ribosomal RNA (468 nucleotides) under uncultured bacterium. Its description in RNAcentral is "partial 16S ribosomal RNA". It matches the Rfam family "Bacterial small subunit ribosomal RNA", at positions 28 to 507 of the family's 1533-position model. The record is from RNAcentral.